Nicotiana tabacum (common tobacco) is the source of this 1130-nucleotide non-coding RNA. NCBI's taxonomy places the organism in Eukaryota, Viridiplantae, Streptophyta, Magnoliopsida, Solanales, Solanaceae. The record is from RefSeq and is a predicted model, not a curated record.
CAGAUUUCCAUCAUGGUGCAGGCUCCUAUAUACAUUGCAGAAAUCUCGCCACAAAGUAUUCGACGGGCAUGCACAGCUUCCAUCACGUUCAUGGCAUAUUUUGGCAUUUCAGUGAUGUUUCUAAUCGGGAAUAUCCUGACUUGGCGUCCCUAGGCUAUAGUAGGAAUUAUACCCUCUUUGGUGCAGUUACUAGGCAUAUUUUUCAUACCAGAGUCUCCGAGAUGGUUGGCUGCGACUGGCCUGGACAAAGAAGUAGAAGCAUCUCUAAAGUAUCUGAGAGGAAAAAAUGUUGAUAUUUCUUCAGAAGCAGCUGAAAUUAAGGAAAAUGUGGAGUCCCUUCAAAAGCUCUCAGGAUCAAGAUAUCUGGAUAUGUUCAAUCGUGAAUAUGCUCAUUCAUUCAUUCAUUGUUGGAUUCGGAGUAGUGAGCAGAUGAGUGUUUGCUGUCAGCCCCAAUCCUUCGGUUUCCGGAUUGGAAUAAGGAGUUCCAUGUUCAUACUGACGCAUCACUCUAUGCCAUUGGAUGUAUGUUGGCGCAAGAAGGGCCGCUUGAUCACUCCAUCUACUUUUAAAGUAUACGACUUUCCGCUUGGGAAUUAUACAACCACCGAACCUUCUUUAUCAUGAUUCGACCCAUACCUCAGACCCAAGAUCGAGCACCAGAGCUGCUCAUAACAACGUACCAAAAAGAAGAAUGCGAGAAGUUCAUAUUCUCCAUAUUCUACUAUAAACCAGGUAGUGAGGAUGAAAAAAAGCAUAAGCUACCUCGUUCGUGCUCCCGUCUUUCCCGCUGCCAUCUUCGGUGGAUGCGCCCCUUCACUUAAAGGCGGAUAGGGCACUGAGCCAACCUUUUAGAUUGAAUAAAGUUACUAAGCUAGUCACCUCACCUCUCUUUCUUACCCGCCCUUAUUAGUAGUAGGCAACCUUUCUUUCUCGCCUUUCUUCCAGCUUUUUCCAGAUAAAGGUCUAAUAGAGUUGCGCUUUCUUAGUACAUUGCCUUUCAUUACCAAUCUGUCGUUUUACAGCACGAAGUUACCUGAUGUUCGCUACUACUAAUAAGGGCGGAGAGAUGUUAACCUUUCGCUAUUAGUAAGCACUCCCCUAGUUUUGACCUAAUGAGCUUUCUUUACGUU